RNAcentral lists this non-coding RNA (28 nucleotides) under Mus musculus (house mouse). Lineage: Eukaryota; Metazoa; Chordata; Mammalia; Rodentia; Muridae. RNAcentral also lists the same sequence under 1 other name. The record is from RNAcentral.
UGGAAUUUUUCGCUGGCUUGAUCUUAUG